RNAcentral lists this unclassified non-coding RNA (201 nucleotides) under Hevea brasiliensis (rubber tree). The record is from RNAcentral. Lineage: Eukaryota; Viridiplantae; Streptophyta; Magnoliopsida; Malpighiales; Euphorbiaceae.
UAAAAUUUCUAUGGAAAGAAAGAUUAUUAUUUUUCCUUAUAAUUUUUUUUCAUAAGAAAAGAAAAGGAAAGGAAGUGAUUUGUAUAAUUUUUCAUGUUUUGAUGGAAAGAAAAGCGAUGAAAGAAAAUUAUUACAUUUUUACUAUUAUGCUCAUAUUAAAUGAAUAAAAUUAUAUUUAAAAAUAACUAUUGGAGGAAAAAA